This 285-nucleotide long non-coding RNA is filed under the name Trifolium pratense (red clover). Its description in RNAcentral is "long non-coding RNA (TPRA_LNC004634)". The record is from RNAcentral. Lineage: Eukaryota; Viridiplantae; Streptophyta; Magnoliopsida; Fabales; Fabaceae.
AAAUGUUUUGUUUUUUAUUAUUGUGCCCGACAAGAUGUUGAAUCUCGCUCCUACGUAUUCCCAGGUGCAAUGGGAAAAUCAGGGUUUCGUAGUUCAGGGUAAAAAAUGUUUGUGGGUUGGUUGCUUUUAGACGCAUGACGUCUAAGUCGCAUUCUCGCAUUAAACGCUGCUUGUAUGCUCGCACUUCGGAGGCUUAAGCGUGGUUUGUAUUACGGAGAAUGGACGAAAACGUCACCCAUUUUGUGAAAAGGGUUUUCUUUUUACUGCGCGCGAGGGCAGUGAAAA